UUGACCUCAAAUCAGGUAGGACUACCCGCUGAACUUAAGCAUAUCAAUAAGCGGAGGAAAAGAAACUAACAAGGAUUCCCCUAGUAACUGCGAGUGAAGCGGGAAAAGCUCAAAUUUUGAAUCUGGCGGUCCUUGUGGCCGUCCGAAUUGUAAUCUAGAGAAGUGUCGUCCGCGCUGGCCCGUGUACAAGUCUCCUGGAAGGGAGCGUCU
Molecule: ribosomal RNA, 210 nt
Filed under: Tylopilus pseudoscaber
Lineage: Eukaryota; Fungi; Basidiomycota; Agaricomycetes; Boletales; Boletaceae
Description: partial 26S ribosomal RNA
Rfam family: Eukaryotic large subunit ribosomal RNA
Source: RNAcentral